CCCAAGGGUAAGGGUAAGGUCUGCGUACAUACUACCCUCCCCAGACCCCACUAAGUGGGGUUAUACUGGGUUGUUGUUGUUGUUGUUGAAUAUCUUUUAUUCAUACGUAAUUUGAGAUGGUAAAUUUAUAGAACUAAAUCUCUACAGGACAUGAAAGUCUUCCAUCAAUAAAAUAGAAGCAUGAAGGUCUUCAAGAGUUCUAGACGUGUAAUAGUCUCCAUUCACCAUUAUUUUCUGGAACUAUUGCACUGUUGUUAUUGACUUUGAGGUAGUGAAGUUUUAACAGCAUUUGAUGCAUAAAGAAAGUCAAAGUGAGUAAUAUUUUGGUUCUUUUCUCUUUCCAAGCCUUU
Molecule: long non-coding RNA, 350 nt
Filed under: Nicotiana benthamiana
Lineage: Eukaryota; Viridiplantae; Streptophyta; Magnoliopsida; Solanales; Solanaceae
Description: long non-coding RNA (NBEN_LNC033404)
Source: RNAcentral